GGCGGCAGCUACACAUGCAGUCGAGCGGAUGAGAGGAGCUUGCUCCUCGAUUCAGCGGCGGACGGGUGAGUAAUGCCUAGGAAUCUGCCUAGUAGUGGGGGACAACGUUUCGAAAGGAACGCUAAUACCGCAUACGUCCUACGGGAGAAAGUGGGGGAUCUUCGGACCUCACGCUAUUAGAUGAGCCUAGGUCGGAUUAGCUAGUUGGUAGGGUAAAGGCCUACCAAGGCGACGAUCCGUAACUGGUCUGAGAGGAUGAUCAGUCACACUGGAACUGAGACACGGUCCAGACUCCUACGGGAGGCAGCAGUGGGGAAUAUUGGACAAUGGGCGAAAGCCUGAUCCAGCCAUGCCGCGUGUGUGAAGAAGGCCUUCGGGUCGUAAAGCACUUUAAGUUGGGAGGAAGGGCUUACAGCGAAUACCUGUGAGUUUUGACGUUCCCGAGAGAAUAAGCACCGGCU
RNAcentral lists this ribosomal RNA (461 nucleotides) under Pseudomonas sp. RNAcentral's name for it is "bacterial SSU rRNA". It matches the Rfam family "Bacterial small subunit ribosomal RNA", at positions 38 to 498 of the family's 1533-position model. Lineage: Bacteria; Pseudomonadati; Pseudomonadota; Gammaproteobacteria; Pseudomonadales; Pseudomonadaceae. The record is from RNAcentral.